CUGCAUGGAGUAACUCUUGUGUGCAUUCGCUACAAGCAUUUAUGUACAUUAUCUCAUUCUGUAAAGAGAAGGAGAAUAAGACGAUUCGACAUUGGUAAAUACAGCCUAAGAAGCAAGUAGAGACAUGGUUCUGUCGUUGGCAUCUUCGCACCUGACCGUCCUCGUUUCAAGAAACAACACUGUCUUUGGAAGAUAAAAUAGUAUAGAGCGCAUAAAAACGAACGCCUCCGAAUUGAGAGUGGAAACGAACUUGACAUCAAUUUGUAAAUUCAAAAGCUGCUACAACAUCAGUGAUGAAGGACACCUGAAGCAAUACCUCUUAGCUUCUGCUUUG
Molecule: long non-coding RNA, 334 nt
Organism: Hyaena hyaena (striped hyena)
Lineage: Eukaryota; Metazoa; Chordata; Mammalia; Carnivora; Hyaenidae
Exons: 3
Source: RefSeq, a predicted model, not a curated record